Long non-coding RNA from Scomber scombrus (Atlantic mackerel), 447 nucleotides. RefSeq lists it as uncharacterized. The record is from RefSeq and is a predicted model, not a curated record. The transcript has 3 exons. Lineage: Eukaryota; Metazoa; Chordata; Actinopteri; Scombriformes; Scombridae.
GGAGCUACCUCUGGAAAUGUUUUACAAGAUUACAUUUUUAUUAGAACUGCACACUGUUGUCAGGUUAUAAUUAUCCAUUAUGAUAAAUCAAGUUAAUAUAUUUAUUUUUCUACUGGCUCCAAAGUAGCCUAAAUCAAGUAUUUCCAAAUUCAGACAUCCCAACUCUCCCGGAAGUUCCGCUCUCCAUAGUGAUAGCGCCCGGACCGACAUCCAGUGACAUCUCCUCUUGAACUACAAGCUUGUCACGUGACCGCCAUUCCUGCUCCGGUUUCAAGUUAAUUGGCGGGCUUUGUUCAUUGGUUGGCGCCAAUUGCUGCAGGCCUGCAGGUUGACCAGGAUUUGACCCGCAGCAGGAUGGCUUGUGAACACCGCGUAGACGCCAUGGAGCAGGAGCUGGAGUUGGAACAAGAGCUGGAGCAGGCCGAGAGGACGGAGGACCGAGUCGUG